This 73-nucleotide transfer RNA is filed under the name Ictidomys tridecemlineatus (thirteen-lined ground squirrel). RNAcentral describes it as "Spermophilus tridecemlineatus (thirteen-lined ground squirrel) tRNA". It matches the Rfam family "tRNA". Rfam says of the family: Transfer RNA (tRNA) molecules are approximately 80 nucleotides in length. Their secondary structure includes four short double-helical elements and three loops (D, anti-codon, and T loops). Further hydrogen bonds mediate the characteristic L-shaped molecular structure. tRNAs have two regions of fundamental functional importance: the anti-codon, which is responsible for specific mRNA codon recognition, and the 3' end, to which the tRNAs corresponding amino acid is attached (by aminoacyl-tRNA synthetases). tRNAs cope with the degeneracy of the genetic code in two manners: having more than one tRNA (with a specific anti-codon) for a particular amino acid; and 'wobble' base-pairing, i.e. permitting non-standard base-pairing at the 3rd anti-codon position. The record is from Rfam by way of RNAcentral. Lineage: Eukaryota; Metazoa; Chordata; Mammalia; Rodentia; Sciuridae.
GGGGGUAUAGCUCAGUUGGUAGAGUACCUGCCUUGCAUGCCCAAGUCCCUGGGUUCAAUCCCCAGCACCACAA